This 926-nucleotide ribosomal RNA is filed under the name uncultured bacterium. RNAcentral's name for it is "bacterial SSU rRNA". It matches the Rfam family "Bacterial small subunit ribosomal RNA", at positions 338 to 1299 of the family's 1533-position model. The record is from RNAcentral.
CCUACGGGAGGCAGCAGCAAGGAAUCUUCCGCAAUGGGGGCAACCCUGACGGAGCAACGCCGCGUGGGGGAUGACGCCCUUCGGGGUGUAAACCCCUUUUCUUCGGGAAGAAGAUCUGACGGUACCGGAGGAAGAAGGACCGGCUAACUACGUGCCAGCAGCCGCGGUAAUACGUAGGGUCCGAGCGUUGUCCGGAGUUACUGGGCGUACCGCGCGCGCAGGCGGCGGUGCUGGCCCGGCGUGAAAGCCCCCGGCUCAACCGGGGAGGGUCGUCGGGGACCGCACCGCUUGAGGGCGGUAGGGGCUGGUGGAAUGCCUGGUGUACUGGUGAAAUGCGUAUAGAUCCGGCCGAACACCCGUGGCGAAGGCGGCCAGCUGGGCCGUCCCUGACGCUGAGGCGCGAAGGCGUGGGGAGCGAACGGGAUUAGAUACCCCGGUAGUCUGCGCGUGAAACGAUGCAUACUAUGCGUGGGGGGAGUUGACCCCCUCCGUGCCCCAGCCCACGCGGCAAGUCGGCCGCCUGGGGAGUACGGCCGCAACGCUACCCCUCACAGGAAUUGACGGGGGCCCGCACAAGCGGCGGAGCGUGCGGUUUAAUUCCACGCUACGCAUACAACCUUACCAAGGCUUGAUUGCGCCUGCUUCCUCCUGAUAGGCAUUGGCCUUCGACCGUGUCUCACAGGUGCUGCCUGGUUGUCGUCAACUCGUGCCGCGAGGUGUUGAGUUAAGUCCCACAACGAGCGCAACCCCUGUGGGUAUAUACCUGAUCUAUCCAACUGACUGUCGCACACUCUAUGAACGUCGUAAUCACGCCAAGUCAGCAUGGCCUUACUCUUGGGACACACGCACCCUCUAAUGGUAGGUACCUCGGGCACCUAAGCCGUGAGGCCGCAACUAAUCCCUCUACUCCGCCCCCAGUUCCCAUC